Molecule: transfer RNA, 75 nt
Filed under: Candidatus Peregrinibacteria bacterium
Lineage: Bacteria; Candidatus Peregrinibacteriota
Description: tRNA-Gly
Rfam family: tRNA
About the family: Transfer RNA (tRNA) molecules are approximately 80 nucleotides in length.
Source: RNAcentral
GCGGGUAUAGUAUAGUGGCUAUUAUGUUGGCCUUCCAAGCCGAAGACACGGGUUCGAUCCCCGUUACCCGCUCCA